RNAcentral lists this long non-coding RNA (968 nucleotides) under Brachypodium distachyon (stiff brome). RNAcentral describes it as "long non-coding RNA (BDIS_LNC000839)". Lineage: Eukaryota; Viridiplantae; Streptophyta; Magnoliopsida; Poales; Poaceae. The record is from RNAcentral.
AUGCAGCCUGACUGUAAACAUCAGCGUCACCUCUAUACAGCACAAACACAUUAAAGCAGCAUUACUUAUGGUGAAAAUGCAGCACAAGCACAUUAGAGCAAUAUUAAUUAUAGUAAAAACAAGUGAUGCAAAAGCAAAGAGAAUGUGGAAGCUUCUUAUUGGCUCAACUGUCAAAGAAAAAAAUUCAGUAACCACAUAUACAUCUACAACCAGUUUGAAGCUUCUUAUUGGCUCAACUGUCAAAGAAAAUAUAACACAAUACUGCAUGUCCUGUGGUAGCAUGGAGUACAAAUGACAAUGUAUGCAUGGAGUAAAUGUAAUGUCAUAAUUUCAUGUAAAAUGUUAAUCUAAUGAAAAAUGACAAUGUAUGCAUGGAGUACAAUAUUUUAUAAUGUCAACUGAUGCAUUUCAUAAUUGCAUUAAUAUAUUUGUGUGGAACUUCUACAGUAAUGUAUAAUGUCAUAAUUUCCCAAGUUUCAUUAAUAUACUUAUGUGAAACUUCUACUGUAAAUGUAAUGUCAUACACAAUAUUUUCUAUGAUUCAAGCAGUACAACUCAAAGAAUAUUAAAUUAAUAAUUUAUAUUUCUACAGAUGUCAAAAUAAAAUACUCUGGUAUGGCCAGUUUAUUCUCCAUGUAUGUACCAGUAAAACAACUACUAUCAAAUUAUAAAUUCCUUCUCUUCUCAUGAAUCCCAAAAAGUUCAGAACUCCACUUCAAAAAGAAGAAAAGGUAGGUUUCACAACAGGAAUCAACGAUGGCAUAACCGUACAUGCCGUCUAACAGGAAAACAAAGGAGAAACAUGUGGCCUCACCAAUGCAAAAAAAUAGAUAAGCAUUUAAAGUUAGAAGGUAAUCUGUAACUAGAAAUCACAAGGACAAAGCACUAGAAAAUACAAUUAACAAAUCUGCUACACACAUUAUGAACUAAACAGAAAAAUGAUAGCUUCUAACGGAAUGAGAUGAAAG